UCUCCGUAGGUGAACCUGCGGAGGGAUCAUUACUGAGUUCAUGCCCUACCGGGUAGAUCUCCCACCCUAUGUUAUUAUUACUUUGUUGCUUUGGCGGGCCGUUAGGCUCCGGCCCGACUACCGGCCCCGGCUGGUAAGCGCCCGCCAGAGGACCCAAAACCCUGAAUAUUAGUGUCGUCUGAGUACUAUAUAAUAGUUAAAACUUUCAACAACGGAUUUCUUGGUUCUG
Molecule: unclassified non-coding RNA, 229 nt
Filed under: plant metagenome
Description: partial contains small subunit ribosomal RNA, internal transcribed spacer 1, and 5.8S ribosomal RNA
Source: RNAcentral